CUUCCUCUCUAGCUUCCUUGCUCUGUUGAUCUAUGGCAUUGCAAGCACUGCUCUCUCAAUUGAAAGCACUCAGAGUGAUGACCUCUCAAUCCUUCCAAGUACACAGGAUGAUUUCUUUUCAAUCCUUGCAAGCACCCAGAGUGAUUUCCUCGGCGCUCACAACUCCGCAAGAGCUUCAAUUGCGACGUCUCCAAGAAUCCCUCCUGUCUCCUGGAGCAAUGACGCCGCGGCAUUUGCAAUGAGAUGGAUCACAACGCUGAGAGACACGAGAAAUUGCAACAUGGUUCACUCCGGCAACAGAGCAUAUGGGGAAAACUUAUACAAAUGGAUGGGAAGUCCUGGAUUGCCAUCGCCAAAUCCUGCGGAAGCCGUGAAGUCAUGGGUGAACGAGAAGAGAGAUUAUCGGUAUGCAAGCAAUAGCUGUGCCGCUGGUAAGGUUUGUGGGCAUUACACCCAAGUUGUGUGGAGGAACACCAAGAGAGUGGGGUGUGCUUCGAUCAAAUGUCCUGGAAAUAUGCUGCUUGUGAGUUGCAAUUAUGAUCCACCUGGUAAUUGGGUUGGACAGAAGCCAUAUUAGCAGAUUAGAAAGUUCCCUUGCAUUUUCACAGCAUAGCCACAAAUCCAAUAAGUUUUCUUCUUGAGAAUCAUGGCAUCGUGUAGUUUUCUCAUUGACAUCAUUGUUAGAUCAUAAGAUUAUAUGUAUUCAACUUCCUUAUAAUAAAUGUAAACUCACUGUUUCAAUGACAAUCUAUCAGACAGGCCAAAUUGAUUAAUAUUUUUUUCUAGAAGUUUAGUUUGAGUUCUCUUUGUUAGCUUGACGCAUUUUGUUAUUAUUGAAACAUCAAGUAGGCAAGAACUAUGAAUGAAUUAAAUAUUGCCUAGCAUAAGUUGCCCAGUUGGCAAAGUUUUUCUGAUCCACAUAUUAUCAAGAAUCUAUCGCUAGAUCUCUAGGGCACAUGCAACUGUUCUAGCACCAAUUGUGAUGACCUGCACAUUAGGAAAUACUUUUGAAACUACAAAACAUUUCAUGAUAUCCUCACCCAGAUCUUCACCAUUCCCUCGCCAUUGUCCAUGUCACACCCUAAAGUAACCAUGUCAAAUGUAGCGUUAGAUGGCAGCAUUUUAUGCGGCACCAGCGCUGCAUCGUGCACACAGCAGCACCUCGGACUUGACUCCACAGGGCCCUCUCAACACCUCCAACAUCCAACACCUUAACGAUGUCAACUUAGAUGCAUCCAAUGAAUGCACUGCUCAGCACAACACUCAGACCUCAGCGCCUCUGCAUGUGUCUAACAUGACAGCAUAUGCAGCACCCUGUGCCCUAGGGAAUGCCCUCAACAGCCAUAUCUGGUGGCUCAUUGUUGUCUUUGCUGGCCUCAUCUAGGAUCUGGAGCUGGGCUCCGAUACCAUGUCCUAAACAAGCUGAAGCAUAAUGGAUUAUGAAUGGAUAUGCUUAGAUAUUUUCAUAACUCUACAUAUAGAAUAUCCUACAUGAUGUAAACCUCUCAUGUUAUAGAGAGUGUACAUCUCCAAUAGGACUGCACCAUCUCAACACCAGUGUCCACCCUCAAUCAAGUAAACCAAGAAAAGUAAACCAAGAAUCAAUUCAUCUCGGCCCUCUUGUACAUGACUAUAUGCCCCUGCUUUGCUGCUCGGCCUUGUAGUUGCAAACAUCCUCAGCCUUAGGACUAAGAUGGAAGAAAAAAAGAACAUCAAAGCUGAGCAAACAAGCUCACUCCACUCCAUAGUUUGAAGAAGAAAACUCAUCUUUCUUGAUGCGAGCUUACUCUCCCUUGGCGCUCAGUCACCUCCCACCUCAAAUGCUGGACUCUGCCAUCUGAGCACCAAUGUCCACCCUCAAGAAAGUAAACCAAGAAUCGAUUCACUAUAUGCCCCUGCCCUGCUACUUGGCCUUGUAGUUGCAAACGUCCUUGGCCUUAAGACUACGAUGGAAGAAAAAAAAACAUCAAUCUAAAGCUAUGCGAGAAAAAACUCACUCCACCCCAUAGUUAGAGAAGAAAACUCACCUUUCUUGCUGUGAGCUUGGUUGUUGUUCGCUUCCAAACAACUUACUUGCAGGUUGCUUGCUUUGCAGUCCCAACACUUCCUUUCUAGCAUAGUUGCAGCUAGAUGUGCAAACGUUCCAACGUGUCGAAGUUUAAAUGCCGUUUAAAACGUUUUUUUCAGGACAAUCCAACGUUUACAUGUUAAAGCCUAAAAUGAUUAAGAAAACAUUAAUAUUUACUAAAGACUGAUAUUAAGUUUAUAAAACCUAACCACUAAAACAAAUGAAAGAAGAAGCCGUUUUAGUCGUCUUCCAAUUCCGAAUCGUCCAGUGCCUCAGCCGAAGCAAUAUCAAAAAAUGUCACCAAAUUUCUAUCCAAGGAUCUACGUUUUGCUGCUCUGCUUGUCCCAGCACUGGACCAGUUCUCCGUGCUUGCGACCAUAGAUUCUACUAGCCCCCCUGACUGUGCGGCUUGCUUGCUGCAGCAGAUGCCCAUCAUCAGCAUCUGCUGGGUCUGCUAGCUCGGAAUUGGAAAAACUGCUGCGAGCUUGUUUAAGAACCUCAUAAGGGAUUUCCCUCAUUGCCUUACAUGUUUUCACACCUCUUGCCCGAACUCCAGCGAGAUGUGCUCACACUCGGUUUGCUCCCCCAGUGUGAAUCUCAUGACAAUACUUACAUGUCCAGUGCUGCUCUACUCGUAUCACAUGCUUUCAGCUCUGGCAUUCGUGGCAUCCUCCAAUUCCUGACCAUGUCUCUUUUCACAAAUAGUCCAAACGGGAGUUUAGAAUGGUGUUUUUGAACGCAUUUAAAACAUUACGUUUUUUAAGUUUCACACGUUUUCCAGCAACUAUGCUUUCCAGGCUGCCCCUCCUAGUUUUCCUUGCUCAAUGCAACACACUCAAAUACCAAGGUAGCUUUAAAUUAAGGAUGUAUUACAAUGGCAAAUCUUCAAAAGAUCGCAUUCCUUCUGUUUAAGUACAAUUAAAAAUCCACACCUGGAAACAAAAAAUACAUCUAAAUGAAAGUGUCACUUUGCAAGAAAGAAGUUCUCUUGAAUCAUAGAAGUGUUGUUAGAAGAAAACAAAUCCGUUGCCAUGGAGCUGCCGGCAGCAGCCUCACUUUGGUGCUGGCAACAUCACGUUCACCUACAACAUGAAGUUGAAUUGAUAAUUGUCACAUGGUUGGUACCAAGCACCAUCAAGAUACCUAUCCUAGAAUAGAAGCAGCAUCCUGUCAGUAUCCUAUCAAGGGCCUGUAGAGUAACAUCUAGAUUAUCCACAAACUUGUUCUUCCUUUUCCAAUCCCUUCGAGCCAAGCAAGCCAAGCCGAGAACUGGAUCAUGUUGGGGGGAUAGCAUGCCUGAUCAUGGAACGCUCUCUCUUGCCACCUCUAGAAAUCAACAUUACUGGAGGAGAAUCCAUCACCAUUCCAUGAUGGGUCUGUCAAUACGUCAGCACGCUCUUCACCCAAGGGGCCAAAAGGGAGAAGCCUUGGAUUGAACAUACCAUCACCGCCAAGCCCCAGCAUUGCAAGGAGCGCCCCUUUGUCGCUCAUCCAGCCCUCCAUUACAGGAACUACAGGAACAUCGUUCUCACAAUAGACCCUGCACGAAGGAAACAACACGAUUAAGAAAAGAAAUAAAGUAGUUGUACACUGGCUGAGACAGAAAAAGCUUUGGAUCAAGGAGAAAAAGUUCUUCGAUGAGAGGAGAAGACUAGCAUGCCCCAGUCUUACCUGCCCAUGCACGUCUAAUUCACUAUAAAGUGUGUUAAGGCUGCUGUGCGAGAUUAGUGUAAAGUUAGUGACAGAGCAAAGAGCGGUGUUGAGGCUAAAUUUGUACCUAGCAUCGCCGGCUCACUCCCGCCUGCCCAUGGUCCAAAACCACCCGGCUGGCCUAAGGCUGGCCCGCCGGGUAUAAUGUCACAGCUCGAUUGAAAAAAAAUAGUACCGCCUUUGCGAGUUUAAAUAAUCUUAAGCUUCUUAGUUAAGCCUUAAAAACAAUUCACAAGCUGACUUUUUAUUUUAACAAUCUUUAGUACAACUCGAAAGUAAUACUGAUUUAUUGCGAUGAGAAAAUUAGACACAUGCUAAUGAUGCUAUGCUUUGCAGAAGAGAACUUAUUGGAUUUGUGGCAAUUUUAUGCUGUGAAAAUGCAUGGAAAACCACUUCAUAAAGUGAGUUUUCCAAGCUACUAAUAUGGCUUCUGUCCAACCCAGUUACCAGGUGGAUCAUAGUUACAACUCACAAGCAGCGCAUUUCCUGGACAUGUGAUAGAAGCACACCCCACUCUCUGGGUGUUCCUCCAGACAACUUGGGUGUAAUGCCCACAAACCUUACCAGCGGCACAGCUAUUCGUUGCAUACGUAUAGUCUGUCCUCUCGCUCACCCAUGACUUCACGGCUUCCGCAGGAUUUGGUGGUGGCAAUCCAGGACUUCCCUGCCAUUUGUAUAAAUUUUCUCCAUAUGCUCUGUUACCGGAGUGAACCAGGCCGCAAUUUUUCGUGUCUCUCAGGCUUGUGAUCCAUUGCGUUGCAAAUGCCGCGGCGUCAGUGCUCCAGGAGAGAGGAGGGAUUCUUGGAGAUGUCGAAACGGAAGCUCUGGCGGAGUUGUGAGCGUCGAGGAAAUCACUCUGGGUGCUUGCAAGGAUUGAGUAGAAGUCACUUUGGGUGUUUGCAAGGAUUGAGAGGAUAUCACUCUGGGUGCUUGCGAGGAUUGAGAGGGUGCCAUAGAUCAACAGGGCAAGGAAACUAGAGAGGAAGAACUUACUAGAGAUGAACAUGGCUAAGCUAUAAUCUAAGUACAUGAAGUUUUAUAGCAAGAACAAGUUCGAUUGAAAUGGUCUCGAGCAACGCAACAUGACGAACAUUCCGUGACGAUCAUCCUUAGAAGUUGAAAGGAGGGUGGAAUGUUCAGCCCUCGAUUUACGCUCCUUGCAAUCGCGGCCGUCCACGCUGAAGAAAUGCAGCGCUGUUUCAAUCAGAAAUAAAAAAAGGCAAAAUUCGUAGAACAAAAGGGCAAAUAGUAACAUUUUAGAAGUUUAGUUUGACUUCUCUCCUCUAACUUAGACUCAUUGUUGUUAUUACUCACGUUCUGCUGACCAAUGCUUCUGAUUGUGAUUGCAGCAAUUGUAAAAAAGAAGCCGUUUUGGAUUUUACAUGAUUUAAAACAAAUAAUUAUUAACGUAUGCAGAAAACCUAGUCAAAAUUUUUUCUUAAUCUGUAAGUUAGCUUUGAUAGAAUUUGUGGAGUUCCUCCUCCGAGUUCUUGGAUCUAAAACAGCCCUGAUUUCUCCACACUUCAUCCUCGACCUCCCUCGCCAUGAAGAUCACUUACUCCUUCGCCACCUCGGCCUUGAACGCGGCCAUAGACGGGGAUGUUGAGAAUGGCCAAAGACGACAGUUGCGCCCAUUCCCGGCCCAAGAUUUCCACUAGAAUGGAUCGAAAAAGUCUAGCUCGUGUUAUACAGGGGAGGAUGACGUCUUUGAUACGGCAGCGAGGCUGGGAUUUCUAAUCUUACAAGUUAUCCAAUCUCGACGCACGAGUUCUUUGACUGUCGUCUUCUGUGAAAUAGAAAGCUAUUCGUGUCGCGUAUGUUUUUACUGAGGGUUUCUAAAAUACACGAUGGCGAGCAUUGGUGAAUUUGAACGAGCUUGUGAGAAUGGAACUUCGGUCCAGGAGGAGCUGCUGGUCGGCAUUCUCCGCAAGAAUGCAAGCACCCAUUAUCUCCAGAAGUUUGGGAGCCCCCAAACUCCAGCUGCUUACAAAUCCCAGGUUCCAAUCGUAUCCUAUGAGGAUGUCGCCGGAGAGAUUGAAAGGAUUGCAUCCGGGGACGAGAGCCCAGUUCUUUGUCAGGACCCAAUUAUUUGCUUUUUCGCGAGGUAAGAAUGUCUUUGCCGGAAGAACAAAGAAAAAUCUCUCUUUUUCUAGUUUAAUUGUCAAAAUUUUCUAAUUCCAGCUCCGGCACAUCAUCUGGGAAGCACAAGAUUAUUCCAGUCACUGCUGAGAAUAUGUCCGCCACAUGGAGAGCAGUAGAACUUUCCAGUGCUUACAAAGCAAGGUAUUUUGCUAAUCUCAAUUUCUCUUGUGAAGAACUUUGAUGGUUUUGUGGAAAUCUUUUAGAUGUUUCCCGGAGCUUGGAAGUGGGAGAGUGCUCGGUUUGUACUACUGCAUCGAUCAAUUUCAUACCAAGGCAGGGAUCUUGGUGGGAGCUGGCACCACUUACACGAUCAAGAACUACAGAAGCUUCUCAAGUAAGUUCACGACUCCGUACGAGAUGAUCGUGUCCGGGUCAAACUGGCGGGAGCUGACGUACUGCCACUUGCUGUGUGGCUUGAUCCAGCGAGACGCGGUGGAACACAUCGAGUCGAUGUUUGCCUACACCAUCUGCGAGUCUCUGAGGAUCCUCGAGAGCGAUUGGGAGGAGAUUUGCAACGACAUAAGAACUGGCAGCUUGAUCAGCGGCAAAGUCACACACGCAAAGCUCCAAGAAGCUUUCGCGAGUUUAAUUCUGGAUUAUAACGAGCUGGAUCGUGUCCGCAAUGCCGAGGCCAUCACCAAGAUUUGCAGCAGAAAAUCAUGGUCUGGAAUUCUUUCCUUGCUCUUCCCGCGAGCAAAACUGGUUUCCACAGUGGUGACCGGGGGGAUGGCACACUUUGUUCCUGAGUUAAGAGAUUACGCAGGUGUCAAGCUUCCAAUAUCCGGGAAGGAUUACUACUCGUCUGAGGGAGUUCUUGGGAUCAACACAAACCCCGCUUCUCCUCCUGAGGAAGUCGUCUUCACAAUUUUACCACACAUAAUGUACCACGAGUUUCUUCCGAUCGGUGCUAAUAAUCCAGCUGGUGAAAUCCUGGCUCCACACGAGGUUGUCGUUGGGCAAGAGUACGAGAUCGUCAUCACGAACUUCGCAGGUUUGCCAUCUUCUAUCUUUUCUUGCAAAUUUCUCACCCGAAGUGUUCUCUUUUCUUUAAGGAUUAUAUCGAUACCGAGUCGGGGACGUGGUGAAAGUAUCGAGUUUUUUCCAUGGAGUUCCUCAGCUGGCUUUCAGCCACCGCAAGAACGCGGUUCUGAGCGUCCAAAAUGAGAUGGUCGACGAGCAAGAGCUCCAAAAUGUGGUGAUGGAAGUAUCAAAAGAUUCAGGGAUCGAGGUGGCGAACUUCACAGCCUAUGGCAAUUCCACCGCUGUUCCUGCGCACUACGUGAUCUUCUGGGAGCUCAAACGCAGAGAAGGGAUCAAGAGAGAGCUCUUGGAGAGAUGCUGCUCGAGUAUAGACAGGUCUUUCAAUCCGGGAUACACUGGAAAGAGGCUGGAUGGAGUGAUCGACUCGCUGGAGCUGGUGAUUGUCAGGGAAGGGACGUUUGAGAGGCUGAUGGAGGAAGCUGUGAGGAAUGGAACAUCGCCAGCGCAGUAUAAAACUCCAAGGUGUGUGACCUCUCCAAGAAUGCUGGAAGCUCUAGAGUCUGGACGCGUCCAGAGCUACAAGAGUGGGGAGAUGCCUAGAUCUGUGUUAGAGAGCUGGGAGCCAAGCUUUCCACAAGGCAGUGCAUCGUGAGAUGCCUAGAAUAUACCUGAAAAAGCAUCCACAUUUGUUUCCAACAGAAGUCCAUGUGCCCCUCACCUCAUUUUGUAUCAAGCAACUGGCUGAGAUUUUUAAGAACAAACAUAGUUAAGGUAGCAAAAUCAUAGUCAAUGCAUACAUUGGGCCAAUUUCAUCAGUUCUUAACUUGUUUUGUUCAGCCCUUGAGGUUUUCAAAGGUAUAACAGAAUACAACCAUUAAAACUUGAUUUGAAUCAUUGAAGCUGGAGGAGAUUUAGUUGUGACAAUUGCGAAUCCACCGCCACAGCUAAGAUGGCUAAUCUUCUAAAAAAUUGCAUCAACAAGAACAUUGUUGCUGAAAAGAUUGAGCUCUUGGUGGAGUUGCUAUGUUUAUUCCAUUAUCUUCCCCACUAUCAACAAGAUCCCAUUGGAAAAAAAAUCCUGUCCCAAUUUCACCAGCGUCACAAGACAUUAUGAAUCUUAGCAACAUCUGGUUAAACCAAAAGAAAAUUCUGAAUGAGAAACAAUGCAAUGUACUUGAGUGUAGGAUUUGGUUCUGAAGUUCAUCCUAGAAAUCUAGAGGCAAGGUUAAGUUUCCAUUAAGAAUGUGUGCUGCGUUGACGAGAUCAUUCUCAUCAAAGGGAGCUUGUUGAUUCGUUGGCAAUGUCAUCUCAGAGAUAAAUGCCAAGAAUCCUAGUAAAACUUGCUUCAUGUUCUAUGUUGAUGUCUUUGCUGUGACUAGUUCAAAACCUUAAGCUGCUUGACCAUGUAGAGAUCUUUAGCUUGUUGGUACUGAAGUUGUAAUUUUCAACUGAAGUUCCUAUCUAUUAUAGGGCUUCCUCUAGCACUCUCCACUCUCAUCUAGAAAAUUUUUGCCAAAAAUCCCAUAUCUAGUCUUGUGGGAUUUUCAGUAACCCACUUACCCAUACUUGUGAUGGAAUACUUGGAUACAAACUUGUUACUUGCCACUCAGGAACUUUAUACCCAUUGCAAAGUAAUGAAGCAUGUGUAAAUCUAGGGUAAGUUAUUGAUCACCACAGCCUCAAAAACAUCUGCUAGAACUUCCGAAAUUUCGGCAUGCAGUCACUCUUUAUUAGUAAAUCACAUAUUUCUACCACUAAAAGCUUGAAAGGAAUUUAUGAGUGGUUUGGCGAAUUUGCUCACCUAUUGAAGUGUUGAGACAGAUAUUUCUUCCAUGAUGAUGUCUGUAAACAUGAUGGACCAUGCAUGUAAAGCAUUGGUGACCACCUCCGUCUCCAAGAAGAGAAUGCAAUACAUAAUAAACUUAAUGACAACUCAAGGAUCUCUCAAUACCAUAUGCUAACUUCCACAUCCUUGCAAAGCUUUAUUCUACCUGGCAUCACCAAUGGAAAUGCACCAGCCAUCCAUACCACAUUUUGCAUGGUGUUUAAUGGCUCCCACAUGCAUGGGGCAGGUCCUUCUCAAAUGCAAGCCUGCAUCCCUACACUCGUUGCAUACUGUGUAGAGUAACACAAUUGUGCAUAAGCAAUUGAGCUGCAUCUUCACUGUAAGGAUUAAGAACAUUAUGUAAACCUUUAUGAAUAUGCUUUUAUUUCUUAUAAGGAAAAUUCAUUUCAUAUAUAUCAAAGUAUUCAAGCAAAAUAAGUUGCAUUUCACAUGUAGCUUAUUUUGUUAGCCCCUCAAAGUCUUAUAUAUCAUCAUCCACCACCAACUGAUUACCGACAAAUAUGCAAUACACAAAGUACAACAAAGGGGAAAACAAGUUUGAACAUGGAUACAAAGCUUAUGAACUCAAAGCCAAGGACAUAAAACCCAUGAAUUUGGAGCCAAGACAAGCCUAUAUUUGUAUAAAAUGUUUUAAAUCUAAAAAAUAAGUCUUCAAUGAGUAUCUUGAUUUAUGCAUUUUGUUUAAUAAUGGCUACAAAGCCUAUAUAGCUUUAUCAUGGUAGUAGGCACAUCAUGUUCUCUUUAUGCUCUACUACUUCAAGUAAUUUAUGUGAAGAGUAGGAUAUAUUUUAUAUCAGGAUGGGAACAUUGUGUUAACUCACUUUUGUGCCAAAGCGAAAUGCCUACCAAUGCUAUAAAGUUCAUAGCUAAUCUCCUAUGAUGACAAGCUAGUUGAUUGUCAUUUCUUACUUACAUAUAAUGCAUAUUUUGAAUAAAGAAUUGUAUUUAUAAUCAAUGCUCACCCUUCUACUUUUUGAAACCUGCACACACAUGAUAAAUUUGAUGCCUAAAUUGAGACAAAAAAUCACAUACCUUAACACAACAUCCACAAUGGAGGCAUUAUGAACAAAUUAUUGCACUUGUGUUUGCACAAUUAGUCUUCACCCACCAAUCAAUCUUUUCCCUCAAACUCCUCAAAACCUACACAUACAAUAAAGGAUCAAAUGUAUUGCAACACAUAUCUUUGCAAGAGAAUAAGAGAGUGGCAAGCAAGAAAUGACCUAGCAAAGAGAUAUAUGUUGCAACAUCAUUGCAUGCACCCAUAAAUGCUUGAGAUGGCAAAUUGAGUAAAAACACCUCUAUAAGUUAGCUUGAAUUGGAAUUUGUGGAAUAUUAUAAACAUGAUAUGCCAUCAGGAGAAGUUCCUCCUCCAAGUUCUUGGAUAAGUGGCUUGCAAAAUGAAUGGCGGUCCUUGUGUGGAGUGAGAUUUCUCCACACUUCAUCCUCAACCUCCCUCUCGCCAGCACCACGAAGAUAAUUACUUGAUCCUGCAAAAACUCGUCCAUGAAGAUCUCCCCUCAAGCUGCUCCACCAUCUUCGCCAGUGCUGCUGCCACCAUCCCUUCCUGGAGCUCCGCUUCCUGCCCGUCAGCACCGACGCUCCAAGCCAGUGCCCAUUGCUCGUCUCCACAUCAAGCACCACCUGCAUUCGACGCUCUCCCGAAAACUCGCUCUCCAUCGCCAACGCCAGCUUCUGGCAGCCCUGGAUCUCUUUGGAACCUCAGCCUCGAACGCUACACGCUCCGGACACGUAUGCCGUACACUUCGUGACGGCCCCGCGCAGGUACGCGCGGGCAUGACCCCUGCCUCUCCUCGCACACCUCCACAGCGCGACAAACCUUGCUAAAGUUGGCAGGAAGACGCGCUUGAGGUACUGGAAAGGUGGCGAGAAUGGUGCCACCCUUGAGGGCGAAGGUGGAGCUGCCGGUCUUGGUCCAGGUUUCAAAACCCUAAACUAAUCAAACAUGGGGUUCCUGAUUCAGUGCCCGGUGGUGAGCUUCGAGGAUGCCGCGAAGAGAAAUACUCUUGGUUUUCUAGUGAGUAUUGGCGCGAACAAGGCUGAGAUCAAGCGGGCUGUGAUGGAGCAGUACGGAUUGUCCCGGGUCAAGAGCGUUCGGACACGUAUACAGGGGAAGGACAAGUUUGCGUAUGUUGUGGUGGAUGACGCCUUUGAUACGGCAGCGAGGCUGGGAUUUCUAGGAACAAACCACUGAUUUCCAAUAUUUGAAUGGAAUAAAGUUUAUUGGGAAUACGAGUUCUUUAAAUUGUCCUCUUCGGUGAAAUAGAAAGCUAUUCGUGUCACGUUUAUCAGUUUAAUACACGAUGGCGAACGUUGGCAAGAAUGGAGCUUCGGUCCAGGAGGAGCUACUGGGGGGGCGGAAGAAAGGUAUCUCCAGAAGUUUGGGAGCCCCCAAAUUCCCAAUCUUAACCUGGAUGUCGCAGGAGAGAUUAAAAGGAUUGCGUCCGGGAGGGCCAGUUCUUUGUCACGAGGUCGCUUGACACGAGGUUGUCACUGGGCAAGAGUACGAGAUCGUCAUCACAAACUUCGCAGGUCUUAGUUUCUAUCUUUUUCAACUUUUCUUCCUUUCUUUUUUUCUCAGGAUUAUAUCGAUACCGAGUCGGGGACGUGGUGAAAGUAUCGAGUUUCUUCCAUGGAGUUCCUCAGCAAACUCAGAGAAGAGAUCAGGAGAGAGCUCUGGGAGAAAUGCUGCUCGAGCAUAGACAGGUCUUUCAAUCCGGGAUACACUGGAACUGGUGAUUGUCAAGGAAGGGACGUUUGAGAGGCUGAUGGAGGAAGCUGUGAGGAAUGGAACAUCGCCAGCGCAGUAUAAAUCUCCAAGGUGUGUGACCUCUCCAAGAAUGCUGGAAGUUCUAGAGUCUGGACGCGUCCAGAGCUACAAGAGUGGCGAGAUGCCCAGCUCUGUGUUAGAGAGCUGGGAGCCAAGCUUUCCACAAGCCAGGCAAAAAAAUUAAGUCAUUGGAAGUCAAACAAGGUUGAAUAAUGCCAUGAACUUGACCUAAAGUUACUGACACGUGUUUAUUUUAUUUACCUGUAGCAUGAUUACAUCAAAAUAAAGAAUCUUUUUACAAGUCUAGGGCUAGAGAAUGGGCGCUGUGACCACGGCCGUGAUCGCGAUCGCGGGGAUUCUACUCGGAUGGGCAGCGAUCGAAAUGGCUUGCAAGCCGUGCUUGGAGAGAGGAAGAUCUUCGCUGGCGAAAUCGCUCAAUCCGGACUACGAUCCAGACGACGAACUGGAUGCCCAGCGCCCGGCGGUGACAAAGAAAGACGAAGAGGAGGAGGAGGGCGAUGGCGAUCGUGGCAUUGAGGAGCUCGAGGCCGGGGGUAGCGCCAGCAUUGACGACGAGAAGAAGCCACUCACAAAGAAAUAAAAGCUCUCGAUCCUCGCCCUCUUUGUAAGUAAACGAAGUUCUCCUGCGAAGAACACAUCCAAUCUAUUGUAUUGUCUCUACAAUCUGGGCAUUCUUCCCUCUCCUUGGGCGUCCAGACUCUUAGAUCGUCCAACAAGAGAGAUCACACACCUCGGAUCUCUCCAUUUCUUCUCAAACGAGCCAUAAACCCUAAACCUAUGAUGCUUUCUUCCUCCGCGAAUGCGGUGCUUCCCAGCGCUCGGCCGGGCCGCUCACACCAGCUGCCAAGAUUUCGCGCUUCCCGGGCAGCGAUUUGCUGUAGGAAUCACGGCAGCGGGAGCGCGAAGGUGGAGAGAUCGACCGGUCGAUUGAGCAGGGAUGCAGGGAUUUUGCUCGGCACUGCGGCGUUUUGCCUGGUCUCGGGAUUCAGCGUCAGCGAUUUCGCUCGAGCUGAGGCCGUCCCGCCCGUCGACGAUGUGGCUGGGUUGCCGGCGUCCGCGAUUCCAGAUCUCGCCAAGAAGAAGAGGGCGGUAGCCGAGAAGCCAGGGAAGAGCUCAAAGGUUCCGUCCAGGGUUCUUCGCGCAAAGGCCAAUGAGAGGACGCUCAAGGCGGUGCUAAAGACGAUCGAGGAGGAGCCGGGCAACUUGGUGGCUUACAAGGCUUUGCUCUCGCUCAGGAUGGAGAAUGGCGAGGUGAGGGAGGCGAUUGAGGUUCUGGGAAGGAUGAUCGAGUUGGAGCCAGAACAUCUCGAGUAUAGAUUCAUGAGAGCCAGAGCUUACGGGCUUGUUGGGGAUGUGAGACAUUCCAGGGAGGAGUUCCGGGAGCUUGUGGAAAUCCAACCUUUCUCCGCGAAGGCUUUGCAAGUCAGUGAGUGAUCGAUCGUUUUCUUUCGAGUUCUUAGAAGCACCAUUGUGUUUUAUGCUCCAGGGACUGGCUUUAGCUAUGGAGAAAGAUGGAGAAGACGACUCCCAGGUUCUAGAGAUGAUCCAUGCCGCCAUAAAAAAUGCGAUUGAUCAGCAGCAAAGCUUUGCAGCUCGCAACUUUAAGAUGCUUCUCGGCCAGAUUCUUACGUCUCAGGUACUAGAACAAGCUUUCUUCGUCCCUGUCUAGCUUCGUGAGAUUUUUCUUUCCUUGUUCUAAGCUCCAGUGGUGGAUUUCUUCCAGGAGAAGCUGACACAGGCUCUCGAGCAGUACGAGGAACUGACCAAGGAAGAUCCAUCCGACUUUCGUCCAUAUCUCUGCCAGGUGAGUGACGAAGAACUUCACGAGAACUUCUAAGUUCCUCGAUUAGCUCUCAAAGUUUCUGACUUAUCCAACGAUUUCUCCAGGGACUGCUCUAUGAUUCUCUCGGCGAGAAAGAGAAGGCCAAGGAAUGCUACAAACGAUUCAAGGAGCUCUGCCCCGAGAGCUUUCCACAGCGCAAGUACCUCGACGAUCUCCUGGUGAGAGGGAGCUAUGGCGCUCGCGUGAGAGAAGAAGAGAAGGAAGGAAAGCUCGCCUCGAUGCAACAGCCAAAACUAACGAUGCAAGACAUGGCACAAGCAAGCAAGGGGAAAGAAAAUAAGAGCGAAUAUGCUUCGAAGUGAGAAGGAAUCUAGGUCGAAAACUAGAGACGGCGACGCCGCGAGCGGGAUUCCCUGGUCUGUGGGGCGGAUUGAUGGCGCCGGACGUCAUGGAUGAUCUCCAGGAGCUCAAGGCGCUGCUGGAUCAAGCCAAGCGGCCGCGAGUGAAAUCGCUGCUCUCCGCCGAGAUCGAGAGAAUGCAAAAGGUUCUUGCUCUCUUUCUUGAUCGCUGUAGCGGAUUCUAGACUCCUGGAGGCUAAUCCUGCAGGGAUUGAUCGAGAACGAGGCGAAACCGGCGGCGCCGCUGGAGAAAAUUCCAGUUGCUGCUCCAGAGCCGCGCUACACCACUGUGGAUUCGUUUAGCUGGGAUCAAGAUGAUAAGAGCGUGAAGGUAGUUCUCAUUUUUUUUCUUUUCUCUUUUAGCGACUCGCUUGCUUUCUUGUCGUUUGAAGAUCUACAUUGGAAUCGAGGGUGCCUCCGCUGACAAAGUAUCUUCGAAGUUCCAGGACGAGUCUUUCGAGAUCAAGAUCGAGGAUUUGGGAGGGAAGAACUACCGCUGUGGUGUUCCAAGGCUCCAGAAGCCUAUAGAUCCAGCGGCAAGUAAUGUGAUUGUCAAGCCCAAGCGCCUUGUGGUGGUUUUGAAGAAGAUGGCCACGGCAAGAUGGACCGAUCUACACUACAAGGAAGACAAGGUCUGUUCUUCGCGCUUUUCUCUCUUGUCUGAGACGAUCGAUUGUGGAUGCACAGUUUAAGCCGGAUGAAGGGAAGAAUCCGAUGGCUGGCAUCAUGGACCUGAUGAAGGUAAUUUCCAUGGCUGCAUGGUUUUGGAUCGAUCGUGACCUUGUUGUUGCAGAAUAUGUACGACGAGGGCGACGAUAACAUGAAGAAAACGAUUGCUCAGGCAUGGACCGACGCAAGAGCCAAGCAGGGAGGACUGUGAAUCCUUUCGUUUUAGUUUGUUCUGCUUAGAUUGGAUGAUUUCCUCGCUGCGAAAUUAAUCUAUCAUGUUGUUACUGACGUGGAUUGUGCUUUGCUCAGCGUUCAUCCCUCUUGCUAACGUUUCUUUACUGGUGCUUAUGAUUGAACACUUUAUACAGGAGCUCUUGGUUUUAGUUUUGGUUUGUUUAAGAUUUUGCUCUACAAUAGAGGUGUACAAAGUUUGUGCAGCCUUGUGAAGAUCAUUGGUAGGGCUUAUUUGGUCAGAGCGUGUGACUGAAAAUCAGAAGGUAGUUCAAUCCCACUCUCCGGCAUUAUAACUUAUCUUUUAGUUUCUGGACUUCGAACUUGGGACGUUUAUGAAGAGGUAUGCUAUUAUGGCGUGAAAUUUGUGACACCUGACUGUGCUGCCCAAGGUGAUGACAUAUUUUGUAAAAUAUUCCUACAGCUCUUGAAAUAUUCUUUGCCUUCUAGAAUGGUAUAUACUUGGUAUCUAUCAAUCAUAUUUAUGUGCCCAACAUGCACCAGUCCAUGAAGUGCUAUUGUAGUCUCAGACUCAGUUUUAUUUGAUGAACUUUUUAUAAUUCCAGUCAUGGUUUCGAGGAUCUUUAAGAUUAUAACAGAAAAUUUAUUUCCUUUAGCUAAUAUUUGAGACCUACGUGUCCUUAGGUUUGAAUAAUACUAGGCUAGAUGACUUUUUAGAAAAGUCAAAUUCACAAAUUUACAUUUAGUAUAAAAAAGGUAUCAAGUUAUGAAUAAAAGUGCACUUUUUUUUCAAAACAGUUAAGAGUCUUUGGUUACUCUCGAGGGGUAGGAUGUUAAGAGAGCAAGACUUUCAAAAGAGCUAUGGUUCUCAACUUUUAUUCACGAGAAUAUGAACUUAUAAGGAAGCAUGGUGGAUUGUAAGUAGCUAUUUAAAAGGGUGUGAAUUUAUAGGGAAACAUGGUGGAUUGCAAGUAAUUAAAGGGAAUGAUUUGAAAGAUAAUCUAUAAAAAUUCAAAUAUAGAAGGAAAUAGCCUAUAAAUAAAAGUGCACUUUUUUUUCCAAUCAAUUAAAGAUCUUAGGAUACUUAAGGUUAAGUGUCUUUUGGUUUGAAUAGUAUGGGGCUAGAAGAAGUAUUCAAUAGCAAUUGCAAAUGCACUAAUAAAAUUUCUAACUUCCACCUAGCAAGUGAAAUAGUCAGUAGUCAAAAAGUCAAGUAGUCAUUGCCAGCAAUCAAUUGUGGAAAAAGCCCCAUGAGAUCAAAUGCCAUCCACUCAAACAAAUGGAAAAUUGCAAUUAAGUGUAACUAUACUUUCAUAGCACAAGGGGGAGUAUUACAAACUUGGCACGAACGUACAUACCAAUAGUAUCAUGUUGCAUCUCCGGCUAAUAGAAAGAUCUGUGUAGUUUCUCAGUCAUAUAAUGAUGUCGUAUAUGUCAUUCUCAAUGUGAUAUUGAAAAUAUAAAUGUCGAAAUGGCAAAUCAUAAAACUAUCACAAAGCUUUUAGAUCCAUAGCUCAACCUUGUGAGCCUCACAAAUCUCAUCAAGAGAAGGUAAAAAAUCAUGCUCUAUACCUUGUGGAUAUUAAACAUCAAAUACAAUAACUGUUGAUGGCAUAGAAUCCUCAUCCAAAAAAUCCACAAGCCUCAUAGCAUGAUUGUGCCGCAAUUAAUUCAUACCAAAGAUUCAGUCAAAAGUUUGACUCAACACCACCCGCAAUAACUAUAGCGUAAGCUCCUGAAUUUAGACUUCCCAAGAAGUCACCCAACCCAGUACUAUUUAAACCCAAGGACACUUAACCCCAAAUAUCCCAAGACCCUUAACCGAUUGAAAAAGGGGGUGUACUCUUGUUCAUGGGCCUUUUCCCGUUAUAUUUGAACCCUUAUAUAUUAUUUGUCAAGUUGUUCCCUUUGGUUGUUUACAAUCCACCAUGUUUCCUUGCAAAUUUAUGCAUUCGUGAAUGGAAGCUGAGAGCCCCGCUCUCUUGACACCCUACCCUUUAUGUUGAGCCCAGUGGGAGUAAACUAGAUCAGCCAGAUGUCAAUCAACAUAUGGUGCGAUUCCCCUAAGCCAACCAACAGAGUCAAACCUGAGACCUCUAUAAUACCAAAUGUAAGCUCCUGAAUUUGGACUUCCCAGGAGGUCAUUCAACCCAAUGCUAUUCAAAUCCAAGAACACUUAAUCGAUUGGAAAAAGGGGUGCACUCUUGUUCAUAAGCCCUUUCCCUUUAUAUUUGAACCCUUAUGGAUUGUUUCUCAAGUAUAAAGAAUGAAAAUUGGCUCUACUGCAUAGUGCAAAUAUAAAUGUAACAUGUAACAAUAGACUAAGUAAUAGAGGAUAAACUCAAGUCUAUAUCCACCAACAUAGAAUGAAUAAUAGAAGAUCUCUUAUUAUUAAAAUGAGAUUGGAAAGUAAACACUAUAUGAACUAGUGCUAAAUGAACUUCUUGAUAAUACUCUCGAAAGAAAGAUGGAAGGGUCACUGACUUAUUUGUGCAAAGACCCUUUGUUACUUGUGUGACUCUUCAUUUCUUAGAAACAUCUUGGUGUUUAGACCUUUCACUUCAAUAACACCAAUAGGACAUUAUUGAUACUAAAGUCUUUACCUAGGAAAUGGAGGUUAUUAAUCUAGAAAAUGACGAUAAUGCUAAUAAAUGUGACUAACUUCCUUAUACGCAUAACAACAAACAUCACAACCAUAACCACAUUUUUGCCUUUGUUCUUGAAUUUGGGUAACAAUAGCAUUAACCUCCAUUGGAAUAGAACUAUCUCCCAUAAGAAGUGGAGCUAAAGGACAUGCAACUAAAAGUGGGGAAAAUGAUGUCUCAUAAUGUUGUGCUAAGAAAAGAGUAUCAUUAAAGGUGUGGGAGCAAGUGCAUACAUAAAUCUUAUAAAAUAUUGACGAAGUGUUAGCCACAACAUUUCUAACCUAAUUCACUUUGACUUUGGCUUCACACAAAGUAAAAGGUUUCGGAAACAAACACAAAAUUGCAUUAUCCAAAUGUGCAUUUGAAGACAUCCAAAAGAAUGCUCCAAUCCUCAAGAGUGGCUACACUCAAAUUAUUGUACCAUUGCAAUGCCAUCCCUUGAAAACACAUGGGAAACUCAUGCAAAUGUUGAAUAUCAUUCUAAAAAUGAUAUGUGGUAAUCAUCGUAAAUUGAUCAAACUAAUAGUAUAUAUCAUCCCUAAAACUUCCACAAAAGAAAUCUAAUUAGACACGAGAACUAACACUAAGAGCAAGAUGAAUUGUAUUAUAUGCUGUGAAUGCCACUAUCAACUAAGUUUGAUUGUUCAACUAUAAUCCCAUAACAUUGAUAAUUGCAUGACUACUACUCCAAGUUUAAGCAAGAGGAGGCUAUUGUUGCUAAGAAGAUGAACAAAAAGGAAAAAGUAAAAGAGAAGAAAUUAAAAAAGCUAAAAGGAAAAAGAGAUCUAAACAAUACAAAAGUUAAAUCUAAAUUAAAUUCCCAAAUCCAGACAUUGCUCAAGGACAAUCAAAGUUGCCUCCACUAAUGUGAGUGCAUGGAAUAUGGAAAUAGAAUACAAAAAUGUGCAUUUUAAUUAGCUUUUAUAUAUAUAUAUAUAUAUAUAUAUAUAUAUAUAUAUAUAUAUAUAUAUAAGCAUGUGGUCUAAAUUAAAAUCAAUCUGACAGCUAUCAAAAUCUCACUACAUUACUUAGCCCUCAAAAAUUUAUUUACUACAGUUUAAUGGAAAAUUUCUUUUACUCUUUUAUUUUCUUUACUUAGGGAAAAACUUGAGAUUGUUAUAAAUGGAUAUGAACUAGGGUAUAGUCUUGUCCUGGAACCUCCUCAAGAGACUUUACAUUGUAGUCUACCACACUGCCAAAUUUGAAGAGGGACUGCAGAGGUUGUCGAGGCGAUCAGGAUGUGGAGCUCCAGUGGUGGCGGCCCCAAACUCGCCACUUCGAGCGAGGGGUUUCGGUUCGUGGAGCUGAUCGACAACAACCUCGAGACCCCCCAAAUACGUUUUUCAAUUCAGGGUUAGGGCUCUUGAGCUAGGGUUUGAUGGCGUGGGCGAGGGCGAUUGGCGGCUUAUGCAGGCGCGCGGGCAGCGGUCGCUUAGAUUCUCUUUCCAACCGAGGAUUCCAGCGGAUUUCUAGCUCGUUUGGCCAAAGGGGCUACUGCGCGCCGGUGGAAGCGCCACUGUCAGAUAAUUCGGCGGCACCGGCGCUGGCCUACGAGCUCAAGUCCUCGCUCAAGUCUUCGCCGCGGCAUGAUUUGGCGAUGAUCUACACUUGCACGAAGUGUAACACGCGAUCGGCCAAGACGUUUAGCAGGGAAACGUACGACAGGGGGGUGGUGAUUGUCCGGUGUGGGGGAUGUAGCAAUCUCCACCUCAUCGCGGACAGACUUGGGAUGUUUGGGGACAAGGGGAGCGUUGAGGAUUUUCUAGCGGAGAGAGGUGAGAAGGUGAAGAGGGAGUCUGAGGAUACGUAUGAGUUUGCGCUCGAGGAUUUAGUUGGAGCGAAAUCCAGUGAAAAUUCUCGGGACUAGUUUCUAGUCGAAGGUUUCUUCCUGGGUGGUUUUUCUUGCUUAGAAUCACGUCUACAGUUCAGUUGCCCACUCUCGCAUCCCGGUAGCAUAGCGUUUGACGGCACUAUCCUGCAUGUUACCACAAGCUCACAAUUUUGAAGCAGUGUGGUUUGCAUUCUUGAGCGCCUGUCCAGAAACUUUGGUUUGUCUUUCAGAUUCUUCUUGGCGCAGCGAGCAAAGGCUGCAACCAGCUUCCAAGAGUCCGGCCUCACCUCGCCCAUCCUAUCAAACAGCUCCAAAGCCAGACGAUCCUCCGAUUUCGACGUCCUUCUUCUCCUCCCAUCUAGUUCGUGAGCUAGCACUUUGCAUGCAUGUCCUGGUACUCGCUGGAGAGGAAGUCCUGGAGGAGGGACAACACUUACAAGCUUGCCGAGUCCUUUUCUGUUGCAGGAAUACUUUUGACAGCUCCUGGUUUCAACAAACCGUUGUCUUUUUGUUUUCUUUCUAUACAAGCCGAGUUGAAGUGACCAAAAAAGUACCGAGAGCCUNNNNNNNNNNNNNNNNNNNNNNNNNNNNNNNNNNNNNNNNNNNNNNNNNNNNNNNNNNNNNNNNNNNNNNNNNNNNNNNNNNNNNNNNNNNNNNNNNNNNUCUUGUUUUUUGUGAACACAUCUUAAUAUUAUCUGAUUCAAAAAAAAAAACAUUCUUUCCAUUUCAAAAAACUAAAAGAUCACUAAUAUACGAGAUUGAUUUAGGAUAAAUAGUUACAUGAAGGUAGCAAAAUAAAUAUAGUUUACUAUAUAAAACUUCAAUUUUUUUUAAUUAUCUUAUCACAUUCAAAAUAAUAUAAGAGAUUUAUAUGUAUCUCAUUAAACUUACCAUUUAUAAUACUUUCCAAACCAUUUAUCCAUAUAUAGUUUUUCGUUAAAGUCAUUCUUUUUAAUUUUAAUAAUUAAAUUUUAAAAUUCCUUGUGAUAUAGAUAUUUUAGUACUAUCACUAUAACUUGUUAGGUAUCGAAUUCUAGCUUAUUUAUUAGUUAAUAACAAAUUGUAAUUAUUUAUGUAAUAUCACGAGUAUUUAAAAUUCUAAGUUUUUCAAACUUUAGAUGAUAAGUUGUUGCAGAUAAAUCUUGAAAAUAAUGAAAAUUGUACAAAAUUUUUUUUAUACUUUUUAUUGACCAUUUGUAAAAGGAUAUGUAUAUGUAUAUAUAUGCACUUUUAAAUUAUUAACGUAUUUAUUCAAAAUGAUUAUAAAUUUUUUAAUUAAAAAAAUUUUAAAUGAUAUGUUAUAAAGAAAAAAUAUAAAUAACUACUUUAUUCUAAUUUCAAUAUUUUUCUUAUUGUACUUUAUAUAUUUUUAAAACAUUUUCACCUACUUAUACUACUUUCUUAAUAUUAUAAUACAUUAAUUUCUGAAAGGAAAAUUGUAUUCUCUACUACUUUAAAAGCUAAGAAAUAUAAAAAUAUGCUUAGUUUAUAGUGGUUUGACAAAAAACUUUAUACUAAUUGUGAAUUUUAGUUUUGCAUGUGCAUUUAGCACUACUUGUUUGUACUAGUGAUAAUACCCAAAAUGCAUUUUUUACCAUCUAAUAGUUGAUAUUCAUUUACUACUGUUGUGUAUAAUAUUCAUAAACUUAUAAAUUAUUAUUUUAAGUGAAAUAUUUUGCAAUGAGCUAUUUAGCAAAUCAAACUAGUCACUUCAUCCAUAAGAAGCAACCUUCCAUUAUUGUAAAAAAUAACACGUGCUUAUAUUUGAUUUUUUCACUAAUAUUUUAUAUUAUUAAUACUAGGUUAUAACUGAAAACUGAAGAAUCAUUACUUUUUCUUAUACUUUAUGUAUUUCAAAUGCUAAUACAUGCAAAAAGAUUUAUGCUAUCAAUAUCCUUUAUAUAUCUACUGAUUGAUGGAUGUUUGCUAUCUAUCUAGACACCCUUAAAUCCGAUAUAAAAAGAGAAUAGAUGGUUUUCUUGCUCGCACGAUACAAUCACUCCUGUUUGGAAGCAUCAUCUAGAGCUGUUACCACAAGAAUGCUGAAACUGAAGUUCUAAAAGCAACUAGACAUUUAUCUGAAAAGGAUUUCUAAAUCUUACUCAAGCAAUCUGUUAAAAGUGUCUUAUGGCAAUCCUGGUUUGGAAUCCUGUCACCUGCACCUCUGUGACAGCAAGGAUCCGUACUGUGAUCAGUACAGAAUAUAUUAGAAUCUAGUAUGGUGAGCAAGGAGCUUAAGUGGGAGCAAGGUGUCAGGAGCAAGGAGCUCGAACUGGGCUAAGCGCCUUGUUCAAGUGUAGAUCAUCGCCAAGUCGUCUUGAAGCUCAUCCGCUGGAACCUCCGGCUGGAAAGACUAGAAUCUAAACUCCCGCUACUCGCGCGCCUGCAACGCAGCUUGUGCAAAUUCAAAUUUGAAAUUUCAAACGUAUUCGUGGCCGGGCUCUGCGAGUGGCGAGUUCUCGGCCUGCAUGCCCGUCUCGUUCCAGUAAUCCACGAGAAUGAAAUCCUCCACGAACGGCCCCUCCUUGAGCUUCGCCAGCACCACUUCCGGGCUGUUGUCAAUCAGCUCCACCUCGUCGAUCCAGCGGAAGAAGGCCAGGUAGCCGAAAUCAAACCCCCUCGCUCGAACCGGCGAGAAAUUGGGGCCGCCACCAUCGAAGCUCGACGUCCUGCUCGCCUCGGCGAUCUCCGAGACGAGCUGCUCCCUGCCAUCGCCGCACACCCCGUCCUUGAGCCGGCACAGCACGAUCCUCUUUGCCUCGAAGAACUGGUCGACGUGCUUCUCGACGCUCGACUCCCAGUCCAGCGCCAAGGCGGACUCGCAGAUGGGAUUCACGAACUUGUCCAUGCAGUAAAUCUGCGCUGGGUGGAGCGAAAACGCGGCCAGCGCCGCCUUGUUCUGGUGCCGCGAGUGGAGGACGUGCGUGUAGCCACCGCUGAGAAUUUCGUGCGCCGGCCAUAUAGACAGCACCGGUCCGGCCUUGAGGUGGAGGACGCCGUUGAUGGCCCGCAGCUUGUUAAGUUGUUUCACCAUCUCGGCUCGCUUCUCGGCCGAAGCCCAGUGCCGGACCUUGAAAAGAAGGACGUGCUCCACCAGGUGAACGAUCGGCAUCCUGGAGCUUCACUGGAAAUCUCUGGAAGAAAACCAAGAGCACAAGCGUGAGAAUCGUUGUCGCGCUGUUGCUUGGCCAUCUUGAUCACAGCGCUACUUUCACUGAAGGGAGAUUUGCUUUUCUCACUCACUUAUCGAAACGACAGCAUACCUCUUCGUAAACGUCUCCAGAAACUAAAAGAUAAGUUUAGAAUGCCGGAGAGUGGGAUUGAACCACCGACCUUGUGAUUUUCAGUCACACGCUCUGACCAAAUGAGCUACUCCGGCAUCGUGCUGCCCUCAUGAAGAUAUUCACAAGCCUGAGCAUGCUUUAUGCAUUGCUAAAAUUAAUGAAAAACAGCAAAAAGGUAAUAAAAUGGUCGGGAAACUCUAAAAAAAACGUUUUUUGUUUCACUUCCAGACGUCCUUAUGGUCGAAUUUAUAUCCGGGUCAUGAUUGGCGGGGCAACAACAAUAUAAUGUAGCAAAAAACUUCCAAGCGCAUGAUCCUUCCAAGAUCAACCUAGGUCUGUUUCUUCUUGAAAAAAUCUAGACUAGAGCUUGCAGCAAGAAUACAAUGCAACAUUAUGCCAAAAACAAAACCAUAGACUAGAUGACUACCAUACAGCUUUAUGCCAGAGAGUGGGAUUGAACCACCGACCUUGUGAUUUUCAGUCACACGCUCUAACCAAAUGAGCUACUCUGGCACCUUGUUGCCCUACCAAUGAACUUCGCGAGCCUGAGCAAACUUUGUACACCUGCAUUGUGAAGUAAAAUCAGACAAACCAAAACUAAAACCAAGAGCUCCUGUAUAAAGUGUUCGAUCAUAAGCACCGGAUGAAUAGUAAAGAAGCACUUACUCUGUUAGCAGAGGGAUAAACGCUGAGCACAAUCCACGAUCAGUAACAACAUGAUAGACUAAUUUCGCAGCGAGGAAAUCAUCCAAUCUUAAAACGAAAGGAUUCACAGUCCUCCCUGCUUGGCUCUUGCGUCGGUCCACGCCUGAGCAAUCGUUUUCUUCAUGUUAUCGUCGCCCUCGUCGUACAUAUUCUGCAACAACAAGGUCGCGAUCGAUCCAAAACCAUGCAGCCAUGGAAGUUACCUUCAUCAGGUCCAUGAUGCCAGCCAUCGGAUUCUUCCCUUCGUCCGGCUUAAACUGUGCAUCCACAAUCGAUCGUCUCAGACAAGAGAGAAAAGCUUCAAACGAGAUCUUCAAACGAGAAGAAAGCAAGUGAGUCGCUAAGCGAGAUCGAGAGCUCACCUGCGAGGAGAGGGAGGAUUCGUCGCCGGCGAGGCCGAUGCUUGCGAUCUCGGUGGAGAGCAACGAUUUCACUCGCGGCCACUUAGCUUGAUCCAGCAGCGCCUUGAGCUCCUGGAGAUCAUCCAUGACGUCUGGCGCCAUCAAUCCGCUCCACAGCGAGAGCCUUUGUCAGCUUCACCUGGAAGAAAUCCACCACUGGAGCUUAGAACAAGGAAAGAAAAAUCUCACAAAGCUAGACAGGGACGAAGAAAGCUUGUUCUAGUACCUGAGACGUAAGAAUCUGGCCGAGAAGCAUCUUAAAGUUGCGAGCUGCAAAGCUUUGCUGCUGAUCAAUCGCGGCGGCAUGGAUCAUCUCUAGAACCUGGGAGUCGUCUUCUCCAGCUUUCUCCAUAGCUAAAGCCAGUCCCUGGAGCAAGAAAACCACAAUGAUGCUGCUAAGAACUCGAAAGAAAACGAUCGAUUACUCACUGACUUGCAAAGCCUUCGCGGAGAAAGGUUGGAUCGCCACACGCUCCCGGAACUCCUCCCUGGAAUGCCUCACAUCCCCAACAAACCCGUAAGCUCUGGCUCUCAUGAAUCUAUACUCGAGAUGCUCCGGCUCCAACUCGAUCCUCCUUCCCAGAACCUCAAUCGCCUCCCUCACCUCGCCAUUCUCCAUCCUGAGCGAGAGCAAAUCCUUGUAAGCCACCGGGUUGCCCGGCUCCUCCUCGAUCGUCUUUAGCACCGCCUUGAGCGUCCUCUCAUUGGCCUUUGCGCGAAGAACCCUGGACGGAACCUUAGAGCUCUUCCCUGGCUUCUCGGCUACCGCCCUCUUCUUCUUGGCGAGAUCAGGAAUCGCGGAAGCCGGCAACCCAGCCACAUCGUCGACAGGCGGGACGGCCUCGGCUCGGGCGGAAUCGCUGACGCUGAAUCCCGAGACCAGGCAAAACGCCGCAGUGCCGAGCAAAAUCCCUGCAUCCCUGCUCAAUCGAUCCCACACCCCGGUCGCCAGCUUCGCGCUGCCGCUGCCGUGAUUCCUACAGCAAACCGCUGCCCUGGAAGCGCGAAAUCCUGGCAGCUGGUGGCGGCCGAGCGCUGGGAAGCACCGCAUUCGCGGAGGAAGAAAGCAUCACUCUAGGUUUAGGGUUUAAGGCUCGUUUGAUCUCUCUUCUUAACGCGCCAAGGAGAGAUUGUAGAGAAAAUACAAAUAGAUUGGAUGUGCUCUUCGCAGGAAAACUUCGUUUACUUACAAAGAGGGCGAGCAUCGAGAGCUUUUAUUUCUUUGGGAGUGGCUUCUUCUCGUCGUCAAUGCUGGCGCUACCCAUGGCCUCGAGCUCCUCAAUGCCACGAUCGCCAUCGCCCUCCUCUUUCUUUGUCACCGCCGGGCGCUGGGCAUCCAGUUCGUCGUCUGGAUCAUAGUCCGGAUUGAGCGAUUUCGGUAGCGAAGCUCUCCAAGCACGGCUUGCAAGCCAUUUCGAUCGCUGCCCAUCCGAGUAGAAUCCCGGCGAUCGC
Molecule: long non-coding RNA, 24916 nt
Filed under: Selaginella moellendorffii
Lineage: Eukaryota; Viridiplantae; Streptophyta; Lycopodiopsida; Selaginellales; Selaginellaceae
Description: long non-coding RNA (SMOE_LNC000298)
Source: RNAcentral